Long non-coding RNA from Equus caballus (horse), 4885 nucleotides. Lineage: Eukaryota; Metazoa; Chordata; Mammalia; Perissodactyla; Equidae. The record is from Ensembl.
CUCAGGACAAGAGAUGGAAUCUGCAGUGUCUUUUAUGACCUCGACCUGGGGCCACACUGUCACCUCUGUGACAGUCUGUUGGGUGCACAGACAAGCCCUAGAAGGACAUGGGGAGCCUGCACGAGGGUUUGAACACCAGGAGGCAGACAUCACGGGGGCACAGGCUGCCCUCUGGCCAUGAUCCGCUCCCUCUCAUGAGCAAACGCGCCCACGCCCUCCAGGCCCCAGAGUCUCAUCCUGUCACAGCAGCAGCUCGAGUCUUAACAACGUCGUGGGUCUCCUGUGGACCUUUUGGAGUUCAUUCCAUUGGUCAGACACCAAGUUCACGGUCUCUUUGAGGGUCGCCAGCAGCUUUCGGGCCCUGCCGUCUGCUGUCUGCUGUCUGGAGACCUGGGGCCACGGUUCAUUCUCUCCCGGGUUCUGAGUGUCCUGUGACACAGCAGCUGCCCCCCCACAGCCAGUGACCCAGGAGACGGAGAGCAGCGAGACGUGAGCCACCUGUCCUUACAACCUGAUCUUGGAAGUGACAUGGCGUUGCGACCAGGCCCGCCACUGCUGCUGUGCAACUCAUGUGAACACACGGAAGCUGGAACCUUCCGUAGCACACGGCCAAAACACAUUUCCCAAAUAUGCUCACACUGGCGAGGAAACAGACACAGCAGGUGGGGAGCUGGGAGCCCCCUUACUUGCCAGGGCCACAAGAAUGUCGAAGGCAGACCACGUGCCUCCCACACCUGACCGUCUCGGGAAGCGGCUGGUGGAAGGAUCUAGAAGGUGGUGGGUGUCGGGUGCUCCUCUCCGCUCUCUGCUCUUUGAUGCUGUUGUGCUCAGUCUGCGUCUCAGAUGUGUUUCCUACCAGGGGACCCUGAUACGGUGCAGCCGAGGAGCAUGGACGGGCCGUGGGUCAGCGUGAUGCAGACUUCCCCAGUGGUCCUCAGGGGCAGGCACUGGGGAGGGGGGCAGGCUGCCAGGUACACGGGGGUGCCCAGCCGGGGUUUUGGAAUGAAAGCAGGAAGGAAGGAAGAGAGAGAGAGGGAGACAGGAAGAAAAGGAGGAAGGAAAGAAGGAGGGAGGAACGGAGGGAGGAAGGAAGGAAGGAAAGGAGGGAGGGAGAAAAAGACUUUCACGCUCCUCAGACCCUGGUCUCUAAUCCCUCCUCUCAGAGCAGCAGCAUCUUGGGUCACCGAGGAUGCGAAGGUGACUGGAGGACUCGGGGCCUCUGUGGGGCGUCCUCCACUUCCCAAAGGUACAGGCAGACAAGCAGAGUGGACAGCGGGUUAUAUGACACCAGGGGACAGGGGUCCUAGAGCUAGGGUCCCUCCCCCAGGGCACUGACUACAGACCCAUGAGCUCUCCCUCUGGCCAACCUCCAGCCUCACCCACGCUGCCCACCUCCCCUGCUCUCCCCACACGCUCAUCACUGCCUCAACCUUGCCCACACCCUGACAUGCACUGGCCUGGCCAGCAGGAGCGGACUGACCGCUCGUCAUGAUUGCCUCAUCAGACAGAUUCUCAGGGACUUGGAGGGGACCAAGCGUCAAGCUAGGGAAUCAAGAAAAAGACCCUCAGCAGUCCCGUGGGUGGACAAGGACAGACGGAGAGGGCAAGGCCCGAGGAAUCGCCUCGAUGCUGAGCGUGGACGUGUGACGUGGAUGAAGGGUCCUCGCGCCAGGCCUGGCUCCGGGCAAGGGUUGACUGGCUGUGUGGCAGCCCAGAGCCCCUCCAGCUGGGCCCCCCACGCUGGGCCCCCCACGCCCUUUCCCUCCUCAGUUCUUGGUCUUCCGCACUCGGAGUCUGCUGGGGCAGAGGGAAUGUCCCCCUUGGCCCCCAGGUGCCAGAUUUGUGGGGACUCUGCAGAAACGAACCUGGUAAGUGGCUUCUCAUCUCAGAUGCCGGCUCAGCUGUCCGAGGUCACUGCCGCACCCGCCUGCCAGCACUUCUCCUCCAUGGUCCUAAACUGGGGUGGUGGCAGCUUUGGCCGCAUGGCCAGUGCCUUUUUAUGUCUGUUUCAAAACCAAAAAGGCCUGCCCUGAAUCUACCCUCAAAGGAAAGCGUUACGGGAGACGAGACAGAAUUAAAAGCAGCCCUUUAUCUGCUCCAGGGGCUCUGCACCCCCUCCCAACCCUGGCAGCAAAGUCGCCUCUGACUGUCAUAAACCAGCAGCUCCCUGGGAUUCCAGAUGUGAGCCGUUGGAUCGGAAUUUACGACGCCUGGAGCUGAAGGCCACUUCCGUCCUCCCACGGGGCAGAGGGCGGGGAAGUGCCCCACAGACAAAGAACCGGAUGGACAAAGGUUUCCCCCGUUACAGGGGACCGGGUGGGCGCCCUGUGCACAAUGUGCUCUCCCCAGCGCAUGUUCUGAUCCCAACAGCUCCGUCCCUGCUAACGGGAAGCCCCUCCAGGCCCUCAGACUGGAACAUAAAUAACCGCGCAUCCUGCACGAGGUGACGCGAUCUUAAGUGGAGACACUUGCGGAGUCAGGUGUGUGUAUUGUCUGCCUCCUCCAAGUGCAGGCGUUUCAGAGAGACGGACAAACUCAAGCCGCUCUGAGGAUUUGCUGAGUAUCUUAAAUGAUUACAGUUUUCAUAGUAUAGAUUGAUAAAGCUCCACCUGGUUUUGGCCGAGUCCACUUCCCGGUACCUUAGACAUGCACAUCAUGGAGAGAAAAAAGCAGCACAGAUGUUCUGAUUCAUUCACAUUUUGGAGAAACAUAUCCAAUAUUCAGAGAUUCAGCCUCCUCCUAGGCCCCCGCCCUGCAGGGCUGAGGAGGAGGCGCAGGGAUCUGGGAGGCAACAGCUCAGGUGCCCACGGGCCAAGCGGAGGGCUCUGCUCGGAGCUGUGUGAGGGGGAAGGGGCUCUUCCCGGGCUGAUAUUUCAUGGUUUGUAAAGUGUCCGACUCCCGGCCUCUCAGUCUGCAGAACGGGUGGCCCCAGGCGCACACGAGGCAGGCUCCUCCCACCUCUCUGCGCACCUGCACCACGGGGCCCAGUGCUGCUCUGCCCUCGUCAGCGUUCAGGUCCCCAGGACCCCGCACCCGCUCUGCUCUGCCCCAAAGCCGACCUUCUCCUCUAAGCCUCCCUUGAGCGUGAGUGGGGUCUGUCUGCCCAGGAUCUGCACAGACAGACAAAACCGAGCCGUGCGUUCUCGCCAGCUUCACGUUAAGAUCUGUCCCUGCUGCUCUGAGAACGGCCGCUUGUCUUUCUUCCUCUCGUCCACUUUCUCAGUGCCUCCCUGCCAUCGGUUUAGAGAUUCUAUGUCAGGAUUAAAGAGGAGACAGAGGGUGACAGACAGUCAGACAACCGGAGACCAGAAAUCUCAGCCACAUCACCAACAGCCGAAGGCCCCAGUCUGGAGACAACUGGCGAGAAGUCGUUGUUUUCUAGAAUGAGGUUCAGACAACGUCCUGUGACAGGGGACCCCGUCCGGGACCAUCAGGCCUCAGCAUUUCAGUUCCCCACCUCCUAGAGACGCGGAAAACAGCCAGGAUAGGAGGCCACGUGCAGCGGCAAACUCAUACCUCACUCGUUUUCUCUAAGGAAAGCUGGCGAAGUUUGGGUGAGGACGAAGCCAGAAAAUCAGAAGCUGCUGCUCACGCUCUGGGAAUGGGUGCCCCUCGGAUGUCAGCUCCUGCUGGGCUUCUGGGAGGGAGCACGAUCCCUGCUGGAUGGUAAAUCACCAAAAACGCGUCAACCCACCCGUACAGGAAGGUUCCCAGCCAGGGGGAGAAGAGAGCUUCCUCGUUUCCAGGAGUGAAGGUACAACAGCAGUUUAAGGAACACAAAAACAUGAGGUUGCAGAUGACAUGCAGACUCUCUGAUUCUUCUUUCAGAGGGCACAUGAAAAUCGACACAAGUCUCCAUAACUGGCACUGGGAGCGCCACCGGGAGGGGAGAGUUCUGCCGCAACGCAACUUACAUGGGGGUUGUCAUGAUGUAGCCACUUUAAACCCUGUUUCUUGUGUUCUCAGCCAACGUCCUCUCUUCAUAAGCAAGAACCACAGAUGAACAGAGAAAAUACAUUUUCAGUAGCCAGCCGUCAUUGAGACCUUUCUAGGUACAAAACCGUCUUCCGAUCAGUUCACGCACAUUAAUACGCUGAGUCGUCUCCUCAGCCCGGGGAGGGAAGCCCCUCAGGACCCAUUGACAGAUGUGGAAACAGAGGCGCCAGAAGAGGAACAGCACCUGAGGGCGCCGGCUGGCGCGUGCAGGGCUGAGCUUCACGGGCGGCAGCUUCAGAGGGGUGGGUCCCUACGUGGGGCACGUCAGGGUGCAGGCCAGGACCUACCCCUCCUGGAGGGCGGAAAGAGGAGCCUGUGAGUCAGUGAGCCAACAGCCACGGCCUGCUGGUGACAGGCAGACCCAGAGGACAAAGGUAUCCGGGGGCUUCUCCCUUCCUGAAGCGCCAAAACUCAGAAACCAUCAACAGCAGUCUCCUCUGGGUGCGACAUGAAGAAAGAAAAUUAAUGCAGCUGCUCAGACUCAAGGACUCGCGCUCCUCCCAGCGCCCCUCACCUCUGAAUCACCACCUCUGGCUGAGGACAGGGGCUCCUGGGCUCAAUAUCGUGAGGCUCUCGGCUGAACGGAGUGAUCUGGAUCAUACUCCUUUGCCUAAAACUAAAUGCACGAUGCGACCCGUCCCUUUUCAAAUAAAGUAGGACGAACCACACACCCCGUCAGUGCGGACGGUGGUGUAACGAGGGCGAAGGCCCCAGCACCAGGGUCUUGGGCAGGAACUCUCCCUGGACACACCGUGCUCUGCACACGCCCGCUUUCUCCCCUGGGAUGCCCUCUCCUGUCUUGAUGUGGACUUUCACUGGUUAUUCUUCUCUCUGAUAAUUAAAUUAUUUUCAUAGUGUUUUAAUUACAUUCAUAGCAACUUAUACAAAA